GUUUGUGAUGAUGCAAUCUACCCGCGGCUAGACGGAAAGACCCCAUGAACCUUUACUGUAGCUUUGCAUUGGACUUUGAACCGAUCUGUGUAGGAUAGGUGGGAGGCUAUGAAACCGGAACGCUAGUUUCGGUGGAGCCGUCCUUGAAAUACCACCCUGGUUUGUUUGAGGUUCUAACCUUGGCCCGUGAUCCGGGUCGGGGACAGUGCAUGGUAGGCAGUUUGACUGGGGCGGUCUCCUCCCAAAGCGUAACGGAGGAGUACGAAGGUACGCUAGGUACGGUCGGAAAUCGUGCUGAUAGUGCAAUGGCAUAAGCGUGCUUAACUGCGAGACCGACAAGUCGAGCAGGUGCGAAAGCAGGUCAUAGUGAUCCGGUGGUUCUGUAUGGAAGGGCCAUCGCUCAACGGAUAAAAGGUACUCUGGGGAUAACAGGCUGAUACCGCCCAAGAGUUCAUAUCGACGGCGGUGUUUGGCACCUCGAUGUCGGCUCAUCUCAUCCUGGGGCUGUAGCCGGUCCCAAGGGUAUGGCUGUUCGCCAUUUAAAGAGGUACGUGAGCUGGGUUUAAAACGUCGUGAGACAGUUUGGUCCCUAUCUGCCGUGGGCGUUGGAUAUUUGAAGGGGGCUGCUCCUAGUACGAGAGGACCGGAGUGGACGAACCUCUGGUGUACCGGUUGUCACGCCAGUGGCAUCGCCGGGUAGCUAUGUUCGGAAGAGAUAACCGCUGAAAGCAUCUAAGCGGGAAACUCGCCUUAAGAUGAGAUAUCCCUGGGGACUGGAUCCCCUUGAAGGGUCGUUCGAGACCAGGACGUUGAUAGGUCAGGUGUGUAAGCGCAGUAAUGCGUUCAGCUAACUGAUACUAAUUGCCCGUAAGGCUUGAUCCUAUAACA
RNAcentral lists this ribosomal RNA (888 nucleotides) under Burkholderia cenocepacia. Its description in RNAcentral is "bacterial LSU rRNA". It matches the Rfam family "Bacterial large subunit ribosomal RNA", at positions 2049 to 2925 of the family's 2925-position model. Lineage: Bacteria; Pseudomonadati; Pseudomonadota; Betaproteobacteria; Burkholderiales; Burkholderiaceae. The record is from RNAcentral.